This 253-nucleotide ribosomal RNA is filed under the name uncultured bacterium. RNAcentral's name for it is "partial 16S ribosomal RNA". It matches the Rfam family "Bacterial small subunit ribosomal RNA", at positions 524 to 776 of the family's 1533-position model. The record is from RNAcentral.
UACGUAGGGUCCGAGCGUUGUCCGGAAUUACUGGGCGUAAAGAGCUCGUAGGUGGUUUGUCGCGUUGUCCGUGAAAACUCACAGCUCAACUGUGGGCGUGCGGGCGAUACGGGCAGACUGGAGUACUGCAGGGGAGACUGGAAUUCCUGGUGUAGCGGUGGAAUGCGCAGAUAUCAGGAGGAACACCGGUGGCGAAGGCGGGUCUCUGGGCAGUAACUGACGCUGAGGAGCGAAAGCGUGGGGAGCAAACGGG